GGGAUUUGGGGAGCUAGGCUGGGGGGAGGGAGGCUCAGUCAAGAGUCUUCUGUGAGGUGGGAGUAUGGUUGCUGGUGGGAGUCUUGUACUUUUCUGGUUGAGCAAUGUGGCAAAACUCCACAGGGACACCAAGUGAGGGCCUCUUCUGCAUGCCUCUCUACACCAGUGGGUUGUUACACACAGGCAAGGGCCCUGGUGUACUUGCCAGGCUGGGGUCUCCUGUUCAGGGCUGGUACCCCUGGCCUGGGCUUACUGUUACCUAGGCCAUAAGCCUUUCCCACAGAGAUUUGGUAGGACCCCAAUACAUAGGUCUCCUGGCUCCUUGUAAUUCGUCAUUGCCUGGUCUCCCUCCCCAGUCACAAGCCUCCAGGCUCCUCAGCUCCAGGCCGUCUCAAAGCUGGUAUGGUCAGCUUAGGCUCUUUCUGAUAACCAUGCCCUUCAUCCAGGUGACUCUCAGUCCCACAGUUCCACAGUCUUCUAAGAUGGCCAAACCUGGAUUUCAACAGUUGAUGGAGGCCCCGAGAAAGUGGUUUGGGGCUCACAGCUGUCAGGAACACACUUGGAGAGGAAGAGUAAAACCUAAGGCUUCUUGGGGGAAAGGAGGCAUUCAGAGGGCCUCUUUGAACUGGGCUAGGAUUCCCCUGUUGCUGCAGGAGAGUGGGAGAGCUCACUAGCAGGUGCUGAGCCUCCCUCCUCACAUCCAGAUCUGACAUAAUGGGUGCCCUGAGUAGACCUUGCAGCCGGGAGCCAUUUCCUGCCCUCUCUUCCUUCUCCACUUCCCCUCACUAAGGCCAUGCAAAAGCAAGCACACAGUCAGAGACAGAGGGAUAGCAACCUCAGCUGAGUGCGACAUUGGGAUGUGUCUUUCUCACUCCAUCCAGGCCCCUCCCAUGAGGCCCACGUCUGGUGAAUUAUCCAGACUCUGCACAAGCUGUGGCUUCCUUUCAAUACAACAAACAUUUCCUGAGCAUCCUCUCCCAGUAAUCCAGCCAGUGGGCGAGGGUGACUCUGCCAACAGGAGGGAGGGAAGAAACCCAGUCAUCCAACAGCUCGAGGCUGAAUGGCAAGUGUUCUCAUCUGUUGACGCCUGGCAACACUGGGUAUCAUGAGGGUAGGAGCCCCACCUCUACUCCCCUCUUGAUAUAGCAUGUGCCCUCUGCGCCCAAGCCCUUGGUGGCACCAUGUAGCCCCCCUUCCUCCCCUCCUCUCUACAAGGGUAAGUGGGUCUUCCAUAACCCUCUGAAGCUCUAGGAAAAGUGCUUGUCUUCUCAUCUUUACGCAGGAGGCCUGUGACUUGGGUUCCUGCCUUGUUCUUCCUGCCUCUUGGUCCCAUCUCUAUUCCCUCUACUCAGGCAGGGGUGAACCUUCAGCAGGUCAAGCUGUUUAGACAACUCUUCUCACACUUGUGUGUGACGUGUGGUGCAGUUGAACUCAGUGGGGCUGGGGAAGGUCCAAAUGCUUACAUUUCUAAUAUGCCCCAGGCGAGGGGGACAUGGCUGCUCCGUUUUGGCCUGAAGAACCCUUUGAGGAGUAAGAGUCUGGACUUGAGUGUGCAAAGAAGCCAGUUUAGAGCAGACUCUAGAUCUAAAGCGAGUUGCAGGCCCUUAAGAACCAGGAGAGUGCUACCCUACCAAGUGGAGGAGGCUUCCUGGCUUAGAGGUGCCUGCAGAGGAUUAUUCGGGCAGUGGGUAUUGGAGUCAACUCUGCAGUGCAUCAAAAGGAAGCUGACUGGGGUGUGGCAGGAUGAAGGGGUGGAAGAGUCAGUGUGGUGGCUCAGAGGAAAUCCAGAAAUGGGAAAAAAAAAUUCCUGUACAUAUGAGACAUGCCUGGGCCAGAGGGAAGAAUCCAAACUCAUGUUUCCAUUUUGCCUUCCAGUCUCAAGUAUAUUUUGAUUUGGAGUGUGACACAGGCCCUGGAGCUCAUGACUCCUAAAGAUGGGACUGGAAUAGAGCAGGUUCGAGCAGAAAGAGUUCUUGAAUUCUGAUGUUGCAAAGACAUGGCUGUGAUCAAGAAUGUGAAGUCUUGGCUGGGGGCGUAGGUUGGUAGAGUUCGUUCUCAGCAUACCUGAACUCACAGGUUCAAUCUCUAAGACUCCUCAAGACAGAGACAGACGGUGAAUGAGUGACUGAGUCGGUCAGUCAGACAGACAGACAGAUACAGAAAGAGAGAGGAGAUGAGGAGAAAGGAAGAGAGGAGAAAAGGGGUAGGGAAAAGGGAGAGAGGAAAAAGAAAAGUCACAUUUACCUCCCGCUUGAUGCUGCCCACUGUGCAAUGUGAUCCAUCGAACAACACAGGGCAAGGCAUGUCUGACCACAGGUUGAGGAUGUAAAGAUAUGGCGGGGAUCUGGUUCGGUCUUUACAAAUGAACCUAAGCAGGAAGUGGCAAAGAGGACUGAGAGGACAUGGGGGCUUCUCUUCAUGGGCAACAGCCUUUAGAGGGAAGCCGUCCUGGCAAUUGGUGAGACAGGAAGCUGACACAGGACAUCUUCAUUAUAGAAGUCUGCAGUGCCUGUCACAACAGCAAGCUUUUCCUGGGAGAGGGGAGCUCUUCUCCAGGACAAGACACAGGUGACACCUCCCAGCUGUCUGUCCAGGUUGUACCAUCCUGCUGUUAGUGUCAACUAUGGAACAGGAGAAACCCGUGUCAGUCGUUCCUCUUGAGGCCUCAAGGGCCAGCCAUGACUGUUCCUGGUUGCUUUGUUGAAAGGUCUGACCCAGAGUUUUCCCUUAGGAAACCCUCCUCCCUCCAACAAGCAGACGCAACUACUCUUUAAAAGUCCGGAGUCUUCUUUAAACGCAACUCUGGGGAACCAGCUGCAUGGUUGGAAGAAGCCAGGCAAGGAGGGCACCCGGAGGGCCUGGCAGGGAGAGCACGAGGUUAGCCGGGGUGGGAGUUGGGGGGCAAUCCUGUCAGAAAGGUGUGCAUUUAGAUCCCAGGCCCCAGGCGAAGCCCACUUUGGAGUCUGAGAGAAUAAAUCCCAACCCCAUACCUCUCAUCUACUUGUUCAACAUUAACCUCUAAAAGCCUCAGUCUCCUUACCUGUAGAAUGAGGCUUGCUGUGCUGACCUUGAAGGGUUGUUGAGAAAGCUAGAGUGUGCAAGACAUGCCUACACUCAGUAGACACUCGGAACAGUAGCCUGGUGCUCUGAAAAUACGUUGAAUUAAAUGAAGUGGGCGUUUGAC
RNAcentral lists this long non-coding RNA (3184 nucleotides) under Rattus norvegicus (Norway rat). RNAcentral's name for it is "long non-coding RNA NONRATT019595". The record is from RNAcentral. Lineage: Eukaryota; Metazoa; Chordata; Mammalia; Rodentia; Muridae.